This is a non-coding RNA of Phoenix dactylifera (date palm), 1336 nucleotides long. Lineage: Eukaryota; Viridiplantae; Streptophyta; Magnoliopsida; Arecales; Arecaceae. The record is from RefSeq and is a predicted model, not a curated record.
CCCCGUUCACAUCGCUGUGCCAAUCGUUCUCGGUUUGGACCACCAGCAACAGUUUCCAAGUGUCGAAAUCUGGCUGGCCCAUCAUCAACAUCAGUGGAACGAGGACUCGCACUGCACUUGGAAUCAAUAUUAAUAGUUGAUUGCAAAAACCUGAUGGAGUUGCCCAAGUUACCCGCAUCUUUGAAAUUAUUGAAGAUCCUUUGCUGCCCCAAUAUGAAGGCCUUGACAGACCAGCUGGGACACCUCCCCGCUCUUGAGGAUCUCGAAUUUUGGGAUUGCUCCAAUCUAACAUCUUGGUCGGAAGGGAUGGAAGGGUUCACUACUAUUCAGUACCUGCGCAUCGUGAAUUGCCCUCUAUUGACAACGUUACCAAGAGCCCUACAACAGCGAAUCCCCAGCCUUGAGAGACUGGCCAUUAGGGGUUGCCCCGACCUGGAGAGACGAUGCGAAAGAGGAGAGUAUUGGGAUCUCGUGUCCCUCUUGCCAGCUUCUGAAAUAGGAGAGCAGCGCAGAGAACAACCACCAUCCUUCUGCAGAAGCUCUUGCUUGGACUGUUUCUCUCCCAUCUGAGAACUCAAAGUGCACUUGGAGAAUUAGUCAUUCCAGGAUUUGAAGAGUCAAGGAAGAUAUGAUUGAAAGAUGGCUUCUUGGGCAGUGAGCACAAUCCCCUAUAUGUUUUUUAUCCCUUGAUUCUCAACAUUUUCAUUCGCAUUUACAAACGAAUGUCACUAGAUGCCAUCUAAUCCCAUUUGGUUUUGUGAAUGAGGUUCUCUACUGAUUCAUUUUGCUUAGUUGUGUGUCUUUAUGACUCUCGUAGCAAAUAUAGUGAUGCUCCUAUGGAGUGGUGUCACCAUAUUGCUGGUGUCUGAGGAGAAAGCGGUCAACAAGAAGGAAAAUCAGUUCUGUAUGCAAUCCUCAACACCCUUGUGAAAGGCAACCACUAGAGCAAAAAUUUGGGUGGCCCAGCAUCUACAAAAGGUGUUAAACAAGCAUUUUGCAAUCAUAUCUUCUGAAACUAUAUUCGUAUGGAAAGUUUCAAAGUUCAAUUGCUUUGUAAGGACCCUAUUUACUAAGUUGGGAACAUAUCAUUUACAAAAAGAAUUAAGCUAUAGCAAUUUUCAUCAGUUUUUUAAUAUAUAUUUAAGUCCAUUUGGCCCUCACAUCUUUCCUAAUUUAUUUUUGUUUGGUCAUGGAAAUUUUUAUCUAUUACUAGGUAUGUAAUUGCUUCUAGCUAUUUGCCUAUUUGUAGAAUCCUACUGGUAGGAAUGCAUGAUUUAUCUGGAUAGGUCUUAUCAACUUGAUGGAAAAUGCAUUCUUAUGGACCAAGGAUAUCUAU